AGUGAACGCUGGCGGUAGGCCUAACACAUGCAAGUCGAACGGCAGCACAGUAAGAGCUUGCUCUUACGGGUGGCGAGUGGCGGACGGGUGAGGAAUACAUCGGAAUCUACUUUUUCGUGGGGGAUAACGUAGGGAAACUUACGCUAAUACCGCAUACGACCUACGGGUGGAAGCAGGGGAUCUUCGGACCUUGCGCGAUUGAAUGAGCCGAUGUCGGAUUAGCUAGUUGGCGGGGUAAAGGCCCACCAAGGCGACGAUCCGUAGCUGGUCUGAGAGGAUGAUCAGCCACACUGGAACUGAGACACGGUCCAGACUCCUACGGGAGGCAGCAGUGGGGAAUAUUGGGCAAUGGGCGCAAGCCUGAUCCAGCCAUACCGCGUGGGUGAAGAAGGCCUUCGGGUUGUAAAGCCCUUUUGUUGGGAAAGAAAAGCAGCAGGUUAAUACCCCGCUGUUCUGACGGUACCCAAAGAAUAAGCACCGGCUAACUUCGUG
RNAcentral lists this ribosomal RNA (492 nucleotides) under uncultured bacterium. RNAcentral's name for it is "partial 16S ribosomal RNA". It matches the Rfam family "Bacterial small subunit ribosomal RNA", at positions 29 to 507 of the family's 1533-position model. The record is from RNAcentral.